GCCCUUGUAGCUCAGUAGGAACGAACGUCAGAUUGAAGAUCUGGAGGUCCCUGGUUCGAUUCCAGGUAAGGGCA
This 74-nucleotide transfer RNA is filed under the name bacterium. RNAcentral's name for it is "tRNA-Phe". It matches the Rfam family "tRNA". From Rfam's summary of the family: Transfer RNA (tRNA) molecules are approximately 80 nucleotides in length. Their secondary structure includes four short double-helical elements and three loops (D, anti-codon, and T loops). The record is from RNAcentral.